Molecule: ribosomal RNA, 495 nt
Filed under: uncultured bacterium
Lineage: Bacteria
Description: partial 16S ribosomal RNA
Rfam family: Bacterial small subunit ribosomal RNA
Source: RNAcentral
GACGAACGCUGGCGGCGUGCCUAAUACAUGCAAGUAGAACGCUGAAGGAGGAGCUUGCUUCUCUGGAUGAGUUGCGAACGGGUGAGUAACGCGUAGGUAACCUGCCUGGUAGCGGGGGAUAACUAUUGGAAACGAUAGCUAAUACCGCAUAAUAUUGACUAUUGCAUGAUAGUCAGUUGAAAGGUGCAACUGCACCACUACCAGAUGGACCUGCGUUGUAUUAGCUAGUUGGUGGGGUAACGGCUCACCAAGGCGACGAUACAUAGCCGACCUGAGAGGGGGAUCGGCCACACUGGGACUGAGACACGGCCCAGACUCCUACGGGAGGCAGCAGUAGGGAAUCUUCGGCAAUGGACGGAAGUCUGACCGAGCAACGCCGCGGGAGUGAAGAAGGUUGUCGGAUCGUAAAGCUCUGUUGUAAGAGAAGAACGAGUGUGAGAGUGGAAAGCUCACACUGUGACGGUAUCUUACCAGAAAGAGACGGCUAACUACGUG